AAUGACCUAAAUUAUUAAUAGUUAUAGUCUUUAAACUUGAAGAAUUUGGCGGUGGUUUAGUCUUGUUAGAGGAACCUGUUUUUGAAUCGAUACACCACGUUAAAUUUUACUUGCUUUAUUAAGUUUGUAUACCGUCAUUAGCAGAUGAUUUUCAAAGAGUUAAUUGUUAAAUUUUAUAUAAAUAUAAAUAAACUUAGAUCAAGGUGCAGCUAAUAGGCAAGUUAAAAUGGGUUACAAUAAAAUUUAUUUAUUACGGGAUUAAAUUAUAAGAAGUAAUAUUAUGAAGGAGGAUUUAAUUGUAAUGAAAGUUUAAUAAGCUUGAAAGAUAUAAAGCUCUAGAUCAUGUACAUAUCGCCCGUC
Molecule: ribosomal RNA, 360 nt
Filed under: Xanthidae sp. 8 KYKC-2019
Lineage: Eukaryota; Metazoa; Arthropoda; Malacostraca; Decapoda; Xanthidae
Description: partial small subunit ribosomal RNA
Source: RNAcentral